CGGGUGCGUAACACGUGAGCAACCUUCCGAAAUAUGGGGGAUAGCCGGCCUAACGGCCGAGUAAUACCGCAUACGCUCUCGAUGAGGCAUUUCAUUGAGAGGAAACCUACGGGGUAUUUUGAGGGGCUCGCGGCCUAUCAGCUAGUUGGCGAGGUAACGGCUCACCAAGGCAACGACGGGUAGCUGGUCUGAGAGGAUGGCCAGCCACAUUGGGACUGAGAUACGGCCCAA
RNAcentral lists this ribosomal RNA (231 nucleotides) under uncultured bacterium. RNAcentral's name for it is "partial 16S ribosomal RNA". It matches the Rfam family "Bacterial small subunit ribosomal RNA", at positions 103 to 334 of the family's 1533-position model. The record is from RNAcentral.